Cebus imitator (Panamanian white-faced capuchin) is the source of this 24572-nucleotide long non-coding RNA. RefSeq lists it as uncharacterized. NCBI's taxonomy places the organism in Eukaryota, Metazoa, Chordata, Mammalia, Primates, Cebidae. The record is from RefSeq and is a predicted model, not a curated record. The transcript has 4 exons.
UUAUUUUUGCCAGUGCAAAUCUAGAAAACACGCGAUGAGGGACAGUGCGUAGGACCUAGCCAAAAAGAGCUUGAACAUGAAAGGAGACCUGCUAAGGCCAGAGGCACAGUUCAAACUUCCACAGGAUGCAGAAUCGGAAAUGCUUCGGCCUCGCUGCCCCCUCCUCCCAUCGUCAGCUCUGGAAAGGGCGGCGAGGGCCCUGUUUGGCAUCUCGGGUGAGGAUUGCUCUUCUUUAACAGAGGAUGCUUGCCUCUCCCUAUCUUCUCACCCCUUCUGCUCUGAGUCAGGCUUUGCUCCCCAGUGAAACACAAAAAGCAGGACAGCAGGGAAAAGUGGAGCGAGUGGGAAGGGUGGAGAGGCAGCACCAGAGCACGGAUCCACCGGACGUGUCAGCCCGUCGGCACUUGGAAAACACAAGGAGGGGUGUGCCAAACUCGGCAGCUUACAACACGGUAUCUCAGAGACCUUCUAAGAAAUAGAUGCCACACCCCAAGACAAAAAGAAUCCGCACCUUGCACAAUGGACUUGUACCAUUUCCUGAUACAAAUGACGCUCAUUUCCCAAGCAAAAUACGAGGCAUCUCCAGUGCCUAGGAUGCGAAAUUAUAAACCGACUCAUUGUUCCACUGGAAACAUGCCCUGCUCCCAGAUUCCCUCAUCUGCAUCCUCCACACAGCAUCUCCUACCUCUAAUUCAUCUGUGACUCCUGCAGCCACUGCUGACCAGUGCUGACCAGUGCCAAGUGGUGCUGGCCAGUGCUGACCAGCGCUGAGCGGUGGCCCCAGGGAGGCUGAGCUCUCCUCCUGCAAGUUGCACCUGGAUUCUGUGCUCCAAAGGGAAAACUGUUCCUGGUGAUUCCCAAGUCCCAGUUCUUCCUGCAUCUUGUGAUUCCAGCUCACAGGUCCAGGCCUCUUCCUGGAUGCCCCACUAGGUCUUGCUCCUGGUGGCCUCUCUCCCAGAGAUGAAUAGCCUGUCUUGACCCUUGUGGCCCAGGGCUGGGGCUGACACCCACAGCAGGCACCCAGGAUGCUAAUGCCACCAACUUUCCCCAUCCUCUGCCAGGAACGCCUUGCCCUCCAGUGGUUCCUGCCAGGAUCCCUUGCUCAUCUCCUUCUGUGAGUCUCAUCACCAACCACCAGUGUGCCAUUCUCCCCGGGAUGAUGGACAGCUUAGGUUUAGGUCUUCUGAUGUGCAGCAAGAAUAUACAAAGAAAACUGGUCUAACCAAUAAAUUGUUUAAUAGUAAAAUCUGGUUCAUUUGUAGAGUUCUAAGGGUUUUCAGAUGCUGCUGUUACGUUUAAGCUACAGGCAAUUUACCCAAGGAAUGUGAUGUUGAAAUGUUUCAGAAUACACUUCCGCUUGAAAAUUACAGGCAAUAAAAUGUACCAGCUUUCUCCUUUUUUCUUCAUUAAUGAAGUGAGGAACAUAAAAGUUCAAUUAAAAAUGAAGACUCAUGUAUCACUUGGUUCUUUUUAGUCCUUUUAAUUUAAUAAAACAUUGGUGUUGAGGUGUCGGGAAACGGAAAGCGAUUGCCCUGUUUCUGGCUCAGCAUUCGCAUUUGGCUAACUCACAAAUCCAGAGCUGUGGGGAGGGUCUUUUCCCUGCCUCAGUCAGCACCUAGAAUACCCGCAGGCGGGGUCAGGUGCCAGAGGCUCCGGGAAGAACAGAGAGGGUGAGACAGCCCUGGGGAAAGGGAGGGGCACGGAGGAAGCUCUGAGGGCAGGGCCAAGACAUCAGGUUUACUGCUGAGCUCAGUCUAGAACAGAGUGAGGGAGGAGGGACUCCAUAAUUGGCUGUCGAAUAAGUGGAAUCCCAAGAAGAAAACUGGGUGGGAGCGUGAAGAUAAAUAUUAGCAACAACGAGGCAAAGCAAGCAAAGAUCCUUUCAUAGCCGGGACAAGCUCAUUCACCAGAAACCAUGAAAUGGAACCUGCCCCCACACCCCGCGAGACCAUGGCCUCGUGCCUGUCCUGAGUGCCCUUUGAGCACUACCUAUCUCAGUCAAGAGGCAAGCCUUGCCUUUGACCACAUCCUAGUCUUUUUUCCCUUCUCUGUUUCUUCUGGAAGGCCAUGUGGUCCUGUAGGUCCUAGCUUUUAUAACCACAUUCCUUAGAUCCAAACCACGCUAAGUUUAAAGAAUGAAGACAUGAAUGAAGAAAUGCAACAAGAAGCAGUGGGAAGGUGUACCAGCUGGCGGGCAUCAGGUGGGUCUCACCACUCGCCCUUGGUGAAGCCCAGCCCGAGGCCACGGCCGGCAGCUGCACUUCUUGGGAGAAGAUCUGAGCCCUGCUGGGGUCACCACAUGCAACAUGGCACCUCCCAAGGGCAGGGCAAGACCUUCAGAUGGAAACACAUGCAUUUCCACACCAGCUAAUACCUAUGGGGCCUCUGUGUUGUAGAGUAUUGCAUAUUGCAGAUGUCCAAAAGUACACAAAGUUUCAACUUUAUAAAUCACAUGCAGUGAUGCUCUCCUGAUUCAGAGAAAAUAUUGCAAGAGCCAGCAAUGUAACAUUGCAUUCCCAAAGCAAGCAGCGAGAAAGCAGGAAGCAAAGUUUUGCACCUCAUAAUCAUUGUAAUCUACAGAACACAUUCCCUCCACUCUAGAGACCUGAAAAUACAUUUUAAAAUUAUCUCAUUGGUUUAAAUUAUUACUUUUAAAUUACUUUAUUAGUUACUUCUGUGGCCAUCCAAAUAAGUCAGAUUUCACUUGGAAUAAAUCAGUGGUUCACCUAAGGGCAAUCUCUGACUUAAAUAUUUCCCUCUAUUAAUCAAUAACUUCCUUUUCCCAAUGUGCUUUCCCAUCAGGGAAAUCGAUGUCUCUGGAUAACUAUGUAGACACAAACGUGUCAGAGCACAUCGGGCUGAGAACACAGAAGGAAAUGCAUUUGGAGCCUUUCGUGUCCAGGGCCUCACUCCGCCACUGUGAUGCCGGUGGCUGAUUCUCCUCCGACCACGUGAGUCAGCGUGCACCUGGCGGGUGAGGCUGGGCAGCCUAGAGAGACAGGAGGAGCAGCCAGUGAGAGGACCCAGAGCUCACCAGGCAGCAGCACGGGGCUACCCUGCAAAGCUCAUCUUGGACUCUACCCAGCCACGCUCCUGUAGGAACCCAAGAGAACUGGAGGCAUCUAUAAGGUGUUAUCAUCUAGACGUAGCUGGGGACAGAGAACAGGAGCAGUCACAGAGCUGUAAAGCUGCUGCUUCAACACAGCUGUUUUCUUCCACCCUACCACCUGCUGGCUCUUGAAUUCUCUCCUGGGUAAAGCCAAGGCCCUUCGAAGGCUAAGGCCUAAUUUGAGGCUCGCCUGUCCUGCACCACCAGGAAAACCAGGGACCAAUGGCAGGGUCUCUCUGGGUGCAGCCAUCCUCAAGCCUUCACCCUACUCUCUGCUCUCCUGCUCCGCCCCAGAGGCUCCAGGAAUCCAGGCAGACUCCCUUGGAUGCAUCCACAGUCAGCUCCGUCCCCGGAAGCCUGGCCUCCAGCCCACAUCGGCUUUACCCCCAAACAGCUUGAUUUGUUUUCUAAGAGAUAUUCUGAACCUACUUGUUAAUAAAAUGCCCUUUCUGCUUCUUUCCCAUCUAUAAUAAGAGGAUGUCUUACAUAUCUGAAGAGCGACAAGACACCGGUGCCAGAGGAGGGGCUAAGGGAGGCUGUCCUUGCUUGAGAGCUUGCGGCACAGGGGGCCUCGGUGGCUGCGGGGGGCCCUUGCACGAGGGGGGGUAUCGCUGUGCAACGGCGACUCCAGAGCCCUGCAAGGGCCAACCUGCUUCCAUGGAAGUCCCCACCCAGUGGGUGGCGCCCAGCACUGCAGAAGCUCAAACAGUACCUGUUGGAGCGCGGCGCAGGUGUGCCGGCUGCCGGACAGAGGUCGCGGAAGGCAAUGGUUAAAGCCAUCUGUUGGCCACUUCUAUCCCUGUUCAUCCCACUUGUCCUCCCUCAGACACUUGGGACUAGAGUCAAAGGAUCCCGGAUGUCUGACUUUCUUUCUGCCCUGGGUUCAUAGGGGAAAGCUGAUGGAUUUGUAGGCCACGCAGCAUCGAGAGCUGUGGGAGUACAGUUCAUUCCCUAGGAUGAGGAAGAUCUCAGACUCCAAUCCACAGGCACUCCCUGAGCCCCCGCUGCCUCCCAGCUCUUGUAAGAACCCUCCCCGUGUACCAUCAUCAUAAUGCUAUUGGCAUCACGUUUCUCAUGGCAAAGAGCCUUGCAGGACUGAGGUUCAAGCUGGGUUGACGCGGCUGGAUACCUGGUGCCCCUCCUCCCACCUCAGACCGUCUCCUACCACCGAGUGAGCCCGCAGACAAUGCGGCAUGGUGACAGACGAUGGCCCCGUGCACCGGGGGGUGGGGACAGAGGGGAGGGGCUGUGAGGUCUUUACAUUCACAGCCUUAGGUCUUGGGACUGAUGAGAACAAAUGACUGGGAUCACCCAGGUGCUUUCCAGACCCUACAGAAGGAGCGAGAAUCUUAUUUGACAGUGACACCCCAAAGAGAUGGGAAGAGGUCGGGACAGCACUGACUGAAAGGCAGUCCUGUGCGACAGAAGGCCGGCCCUGCGGAGUCCUGCCGCCAGGAACAGGGGUUAGUGUGGGUAUCGGGCACCAAGCAUGAGAAUUUGUCACUGGGAACGAGGAUGUGUGGAGACCCUACAAAGCAGCCAAACCUCUCCUACGGUGGGACCCUCUGGCCCAGGGUUAUAUCCAUGUCACCUGGUGGCUCCUCAGCUCCUUUUGUGCAGGGAGGUGAAAUGACCCAGAAUGAACCCUGAAAUCCAAGCAGCUUGGUGUGACCUUCUGAAACCUCUGAUGCCAAACCAGCCUGUCCCAGAUACACUGGAGCCAGCACAUAUGCUUUGCGGCACAGGCCACAUGUCACCUGCUGACAGGACCUGGCCCGUCAGUGCACCUGACCUGCAGCCUGUGUGGCUUAGCGUUCCUCCUCCCUCAGCCCAGAAUCCCCGCCCCUCACUGGCCCACUUCUCUGCUCAUGCUUCAGCCUCCUGGCUUCCUGUAGGAAGCUGCCUUGCUGCCCGGCCGAGCUGGGUCCGUGCCUGUAUCUCCAUGGUGUCUGCGUCACUGCUCUUAACUGUGCGGCGUUUUAAGGGCCUGUUUAGGAGCUACCUCCACCCCGCUAAGAGCGCUCACAGCAGCGCCCGUGGCAGGAGCUCUGUGCAUGCUCGAUGUAUUAACAUGUGCCAGUUACAGCAGGGCCACAAAUGCAGGACAUCACUACCAUUUCCCUCACCCGCGGUUUGAAGGAGAAAGAACAGGACCCGAGUAUAGGUGGGGAGGAACUGACUGGCCGCAGGGCAGAGGACAGCUCUGCCUGCACCCACUCUUCGUGCUACUGAGAUAACCACAGGAAGACAGAAGCCAACCCAGGGAUCUGCCCUGCCUUCUUGGAUGCCCACGACUCUGCCUGGGCCAUGGAGACGCAGGGCACAGACAGCGAUGCCCCGGCGCUUAGGAGACUGAAGACGAAAGGGCCAUUAUCGAGUGUCAGCCGUGCUGUGUCUAUUCACUGCUGAAAGAACAGUGGCACCUCCCCGCCUGUGAACGUGGCCUGUUGCUGCUCUAGCGUGUGGGGAGGCUAGCAGAAGCCGCCAAGAUUUUACCCAGAAGCUAAAGAAAAGGAAGAGGUGGUUUUGGGGGAAAAUUGUUGACUGAAGAAUUCCAAAGAUCUAUAUUUAUUUUUCUAUUAAGAUGGUUUACUGAAGUAUUUGAAUGGCAGGAGUCUAGGCAUUUUAAUUUGCACAGAUGUGGCUUGUUGACACUUUGAUUUUCUGUACUCAAGAGCAAACAGAAUGUUCAAACACAUUUAAGUUGGGCACUUUUAAAUAAGGCGAAGCAUUGCGUCGGCGGCUUGGGGUGGAGCGUUAUCAGGAUUCGCCUAAUGCGUGUGCACAGAAAUGCAAAAUUGCCUUUCACCAGAACAAAUCUCGGGUUAUGUGUGGUCCAAAGAAUGCUUCUAAGCCCCCUGCAGUAGGAGUGAGACCUGGAAGACACGGGCCGCGAGACAAAGGGCCCCAGACCACCACUGGAGAGUAGGUUCUGUUCACGGGAACGGGGUGGGAGGGGGCCGGCUUGGGAAGGAGGGGGCAGAGCUGGGCUGCUCUUCAUGGCAGAGGGGAGGAGAUGGAGUAUUCAAAAGGCAGGAGGAGGGGACAGGGACGCGGACCUCAGGGUGGGGGUGUGUGUGUCUGGGAUGGGGAAUCCCUGACGGGUCUCUGGAGGUCGAAGGAGCUAGCAGGGCUUCCAGGCUCACGGUGGAGCAGCUGGGCACUCUUCCGCCUGCUCUGCCAUCCUCCAAGGUCUCUGGGUGUCUCCCUUGCUCACUAAAGCUUGUAUGUGGUGGAUCUUUGGGGGGCACUUGAAAAAGACACAGCCUCUCCUGCUAGGACACUGCACAGGUUCCCUGCCGGGGCCCUAGACGUCAGGUUCCCACUCAUGUCCCACCUGCCCGGCCCCUCCGCUCAGCCCCCACCUUGCCAGGGUCGCAUUCUUACCUCCAGCACCGCUGCAGAGGGAGCUGGCAAUGGGCGGCUGGGUCCACAAGUCAGCACCGACGGCGGCUGGGUCCACAAGUCAGGACCGAGUGAUUAACCAGCACCACGUGUGCCCCCAGCAACAAGCAGAACCAUGGGGCAAAACGAAAUCACUGGGUUUGGAGAAGGGGUGAGAAAAAGAUGCCUAGGAGAGUGGCAUACAGCAUUGCUGUGAGGAGUGACAUGACGCACAGGCAUGGGGAGGGAAGGUGGGAACAACAGGGUCAGCAUGAGGCUGGCAACACACAGCAUUGAAGUCUCAGUUGUGCUUAGCGGCUAGGACACGCCCGAGGUUAGCCAGACAACAGGAGCCCCACUUGGAGGCAGCCUGGGGGCCCUCUUUCCACGCCAGCACGCUCACAUGGACCCAUGUGAGGGGGCUGUCUCCUGUCUCAGUUUCUUUAUCUGCAAAAUGAGAUUGUCAUUGUGCUCCUAAGAAUUACAAGGACUGAGUUAUUACAUGCUGUGAAGUUAGGGGAACACCGAUGUGAUCAAUAGCCUUAAUGCAGAGCAAGAGAUUGCAGCUGAGUGGAAAUAAUCCACCCGUGCCUCAGCACUAACUUUAACAACAUCGGCGAAAACAAAGGAAAUUCUCUAAGUCCGAGGGGGACCACCUGCUGAAGGCCAGCCCUGAGCAGGCCCUCCCCACUCGCCCAGGUGAGCACACUCUGGCGGCUCUGGGCCUGGAAGCUGUGCCAAAGCGCUCCCCCUACCAAAGCCCUCGCUUUCCCAGAGCUGGGCACCAUGUUUCCACAUGGAUUUACACCGCUUCUCUACCCCUGCAGAGAAGACUGGUUCCCUGUCCUGAAAACAGAACUGGUGUCUGAAAUGGACAUGAAGGUGAACUGAAGGCCAGGGGCCGAGGAUGAAGGGAACAUCCCGAGGCGUUCCUGCAGCGUUUCCGGAGCUCUCUGCAGGCAGGCACCUGCCACAGAUAUGUAUGCAUGGAGGCCUCCCAAUGUGAAACAAGGAAAAGAGUAAACAUGCCCACAGUGGAACACACAAUAUUUAAUUGAAUGAAAAAAUAAGUAAGGAUCCCAAGAAAACUGUGUUGGUUAAACUGAGCAUGGCCAGUUCCGAUUUAUAGAAUCCCCAGGGGAUCCCAGAAUCCGCUCCUCCCUGCUGGAUUUGUAGGUGUUGGACUCUGCUGGCCCUGUGGUCAGAGGCGAUACCCUCCCAGGCAGGCCGGGGGACUUCGUGGGACAGGCAUGGGAGGCAGAGUGCAGGCAUUUCAGACAUCUGCUGGAAGCCCUGGGCAUUUUAAUGGAUGUCCUCCUAUUUCAAAGGCAAAAGUUCAGUGCCUCUGAACAAAACCAUCCAACUGCAGCUGUGUGAAGACGGCACUGGCGGAAGCCGCUCUGUCCCACGGGGGUUCUGCUCUGCAAGGCUCUGUGCACACACUGAGGACACCGUGACCAGAGAAAGCCACACCAAAGUUUUAACAUUCGGCCCCAAGGCUGAGUGGCAGGAAGCCAAGCUGGGCCCACCCACCUUACCAGGAGGCCCCCGUUCCUGCUGCUGUGGCCAAGGAGUCCACACUGCGUUCCCUCCCAAGGAGGUGGAAGAGCUGCAUGGUCCCACAAUCCUGCUGCAUGGCUCCAGUCUGGGGAUUGGGUGGGGGGCUCUGGGAGCCCUAGAGGGGCCUGUCUGGGCAAGGACCAAGCAGGGAGUAGACAGAGGCGGGUGAAGAUGUGAGGCUGCUUUGGGACCACGUCACAACCCGUGAGUCUGACAUGAGCAGCCAGGAUUGGGGUGUUGGGGUGUUUUCUCCUGUGGCUUUUUCACGUAAAUCCACUGCUCUGGGAAGGGGUGUCAAGCUGUCCCUACACCCAGAGUGAGUCCUUGAGAGUGAACACUGAACCUGUCCAUUCCACACGAUCAGGGCUAGACUGGUCUAUUUCCUGACAGAGCAUCCUUGCCCGGGGGCCGUGCAGAAAUACAGACAUGUCAGCACAGAAAGGCAACAGGAUUCCCAUCAAAUAGCUGUUGCAAGAUCAGACAGUUGGAGCCACCUGCACUGCUAGAAUGAUGUGUCAAGGUGCCAAAUAGCUUUACACAGUUUUCAGGAUUCUUCAAAGGGAGAACACUCUCUAUGAGCUCAGAGACAUGCAUGGGAACUCCAGGUGCCCUCUGACACCUUGAUGCUGAUGCAGCUCCGUGAGCCUUGGUUUUCCUCUCUGUAGAUGAGGGCACGCCUGCUCCCUGGGGGGCAGGAGGGGACAGUGGCUCAGCUCUGCAGCUCUGCAGCUCUGCAGCUCUGCAGUGAGACUCCCUGGGUUGCACUCCUAAAAGUCCCUUCCUCUAGAUAAGCCUCAGUUUCCUCAGCUGUAAAACAACGUACACCGUCUCUUUAGCAAACACCGCUCAUGCACUGUGUCAAGUCCUAGAAGCAACUUGUUUCUGAUUUAAAUGGCAACGUGUAUAAAUAUGAACCAUGGGCUUGUGUCCGAGACACAGAUCUGUGCUUCUCAUUUUUUCCCAGGGAAAAUCUCUGACCACAGAGACCCUGAACAGGCUCUGCCAUGGUCAGGUGUUAACGAGGGUUAUUCUGUGGCAUGCCACUUUGAUUCUAAUGUUUUACAAAGGACAUGAAUUAUACAAAAGCAUUAAAUCAAUAAUUUGAUCCUCAACAGUAAACAGCAUAAUAAUCAAGAGCAUAGUUUAUAUAAUAUAUUCUUGAUGGUUAAAACAUAACAAAAAUAGAAAAUAAAAAACUGUAGGUUCUAGAAGAUGCAGGCAUUGCCAGCUCAUCCUGGGAGACCUGUGCUCUGUCAUCACGCUGCUUCUCCUUUUAUGCCUGGCUCUGCCAUCUGAGUGCCCUGGAAAUCGUACCCCAGGUUCCAGCCUCCACUACGAAUGCUGCCAGGACUGGACCUCAGGAGUUCCCUGGAUUCUUUCCUUCUGUUUUCACCAACCUCACGCCAGGUUGGGCCCUCCUCAUCUUAUGACUCACUCAGGCUGUAACAACCUUCAAAAACUAUUUCCUGCUUUCAGUCUCUCUGCACUCCAGUCCAGUGUGAGACCUGCCAGGCUAUUCCCAAAAUAACUUCUUGUGUGUUACUCCCUGCCCCAGGCACCUGGCACCUUCCUUGCUGUGCUCCCUGCUCCCCUGCUCCUGGCUCUUUCUCCUGCACACAAGCGCGUCUCACCUCCUGGUUCUCAGGGCACUGAGUUCAGCUGGGGCCUUCCUUGCUGCCCUGUUAGAAGCCUCCAUCCCUCGGAGCCCAGGGAGCUCUGAUCCUCUCCGUGAUGUGUUCUUAACUUUACUAUACAUUUUGACGUGAUUUAUUUGCACCCCACCGUGAGUACCAUGCGUGCCAUGACAUAAUGACAUUCUCUAAGGACCCCUAUCUAAAUAUUUCAUCUUCACAAGGAUUGGAGUCUCCUUUGGUUUGAGGCAAAUGCAUGUUACAAAACAACAGUGCUAACUCGAUUGUAGGCAUUUUGUAAUUAUCUAUCCGUCUUCUAUACGCUUACACAGGGGAAAUGAAAUGAGAAACUGAAAUGCCAGCAAAAGAAAACAAACACCAGAAUGAGAGAUCAAGACACACGUGAGGCUGGGAGGAAGCCACACAGGCCACAGGCUCCUGGGCAGCUCUUCAGUGUGUCCGGGGAGCAGUCGCUCAUCGGUUGAAAUCCUCCCUCUCUGGGUCAGUUAUGGGACAGGACAUCCCAUGUCAGGGGAAGAGAGCGGGAAAUGCACAAGCAUGUGAUUAGUUUAAAUGACCCUCAAGAGGAGAUGUCCAGAAGUGGAAGACGUGUGACUUCCCCACCUCCCGCAAGUGUCCCCCUGCAAGAAUUGUUGUCUUGGGAAGAUAAAAUAAGGGAAGAAUAGAAGAGUAAAAGGGGCAAAGUGAGGCGACAGAGAGAAAAGAAGGAAAGAAGUAGUCAGAAAAAAGUAAAAGAAGCAAACAGAGCUCAUCCUCCCACCUCUCUGCUCAAGCUCUCUAUCGACAAAAAUCACCCCCUACUGAAAACGUGCCCAAGAAGGAGAGGCUGUGGGGAAGUGUUCUGUAAACUCUGAACCCGGGGCCCAGCGUGCGCAGAGAUGGGCGAUGGAAGCCCAGCCACGGCAAACCCAAGGACGAGACGGAAUAACAGUGGACAGAGCACGUGCUCUGCCGGGCAGGAAACGUUCACAAGCCAAAGUUUAAGCAUAAAUAAGAACAAAAUAGAAUAAAGUAGAAUAAACAAGGACAGAAAAAGUGAGAACAUCGAAUGCUAAAAAAGAAUCCUGCUCUAAGUUGCAUGUUAAGUAAAAUAUUAAGAAGUGAGGAUAAAAGGUUACAAACAUCAUCCGUUAUGCCAAAAUAAUUACCUAACUAUCCAGCCUGUCUGGCUUCCAGAGAGGAUCAGGAACCAUCUUAAAAACAAAACCAAACAACGCAACAGGCUCCAAAGUGCUUUUUAACAAGGUAAACAAGGUACUUACUAACAGCAGCCCAUAGAACUUAGAGAAGGCUUGGCGGAGGAGAGAGAGCAUGCUGCCUAAGUUGGAAAUGAGGACAAUUUUGGCCGGGGAGCUGCACCGUCUUUCUCUUCAAGUGUGGAGAAUCUCACUCCUCCACGUUCAGGAGAGCAAACCUCCACGGGAGUGUGCAAACAUUCAGGCUAACUGUCACUCGGGAUCAUCCAAAACUCAGAACAGGGCAAGAGGCAGUUGAGUGUGGCAAGGAUAUGACAAUGUCACUUUUAGUAACUGACUCAGUCCAACACCUCGGGGUCAAGUGCUUAAUAUAGGGCUACUCUUUCCGUUGGGCGGCAAGUUGAGUGAAAUUGACCACCUGUUCCCUUGCAAGUCUGCCUGUCUCCAGCCCAAAUCAGAAGGCGCCUGGCACGGCCACUCGCAGGAGGUGCUGCGGCGAUUGGAUUUCCCCUCCCACCGGUGCCUGUGAAAUCCAGAUGUGUUCUGGGACCCUCUCCUCUCCUGAGAAGACUGCAGAUCAAGCUGCUAAACAAGUGGAAGCGAUUCUUGUUGUUUUUAAUAUCCUUAGUUGUGUGUGUUUUCUGGACUCUAUUUUUAUAAGUUUAAUACUCUGCUUUCCUUGCACAUCCGCAGGGCCUCUACUAAAGAAAUGGAAAAAAGGAGCGUCUGAGCCAUGCACUCAGGCUCCUGCGGCUCCAUCCAAAGCCCCAGGAGGACUCCCUGCUCCGUCUUUGUGAACUGCUCCAAGUCUGAUUAUUCAGGAUCUCUCACCCAGUCUGUGGCCGGGGAGAUCUAAAGUACACUCAAGUUGUUCAUUAAAUGUCUCCAGCAGUUUCGUGGAUGCAGUUUUCAGAAAGGCUGCACCACUAAUAUCCCCCUACACACCUAAUGUAACAUGACGUUGUUUGCAUCCUGUGAAUACACCUGCCCGUCAAUUUCAAACUCUAGCCAUGUCCACUAAGUUUUUGUUCUGGGCUUUUCCAAACAAUGGCUUAAUUGGAGUCAGCAAUUUGAAGGAGAAAGCCCACGAAAAUAAGCAACUUAGGAAAAACCAGUUCCACUCACCGUGCUUAGACACACCCCAUAGGCACAGGUCACUCCUGUGGUUUGCCGGUGAAGGCUAAAACCUCACCUCUUCCUUAGACACCUCUGUCCUCUACCUCAGAGAAAUUCCUCUCUCCCUUAACUAUGAUUCUCACCACUCUGUGAAAUGACAACAUUGAUCAAAUGUCUCUGUUGUGCAUUGUCUGACAUGGCAGCUCAUUGGGAAUUUAUGAGUCAUUUUUGACAAGAGGGUUAGUGAACCUGUUUAUGACUGGGGCUCACUGCCCAAAUAUCUCCAAAGGUCUGGAUGUCCACAUGCUUUCUUCCUCCCACACAUGGAGGUUGUUUGCCAUGUGGAUGCCCAGAGACUCAAGAUGGAAAUUCACUUGGCAGGUCAUUUGACCAGCAUAGGAACCGACUUGCACUGCUCAUCCUUUAGGGGGACUUGCUGGGAACAUCCCAUAUUGCUUGGAAGACUUGGUAGUCUCUUUCUGUUCACCCUUUCUCCACUCAUAGUCCUCCAAUACAAUAAAAUCACCACCCCAAUGACUCUUGAUUCCUUAACUAGUUACAUUGUGGAGAGGUUUCUAGUACUGUCCAGGAUAAAAAAUGUCUGAAACUGCCAAGAACAAAGCCUAGCCCCAGAAGAGUUCGUCUAAUACUUUCUGAGGCUCUGACCGUCCAGUAACUGGGUGGGGUCACUGCCCUCUGAAGUCGCAAUCACAGAAUCCAGGAAGCUGAUGUGAACCUCUCCUUACGUGGUGAGAACGCUUUAUCUUCCCAUAGCUUUAAGUAUCACGGGAAUUCUGCUAGAGCAAUUCUUUCUCUAGCUGAAAUCUAUUGUUGGUGGGAGCCAUGGCACAGAGCAUAACGAUCUGAGCGACCUGAAGCGUUACUGUGAACUCACUACAUCUUUCCAUGUUGAUAGAGAAAGGGAGUCGUUCAUUCACUUAAGAAAUAUUGAUUGAGCAUGCUUGCUGUCUCAUCAUCUAAUUGUUUUCCAUUUCUCCCAGCUGGGCUUUAGAUGCCAGUGUGGUGCAUGUGCUAUUUGCUUACAUAAUUCUGCUUGGAUUAUCCGUUUAUUCAAUAAGUAGACAUUAAUCACUUAGGCUGUGGGAUCAGCUCUGGAAACACAGUGGAGGAAGAGAGAUGCUAUCCUGGCCACCAAGGAGCUAACACUCUGGUGUAGAAAAUGUCACUAAGCAAAUACAGACAUCGGCAAACCUAUGCAUACAGUUGAUGCGGCUGCUGUGCAGCGCGUUGCUAUGUGAACGGAAGGCAGGAAGACUUGAGCCCAGCCUGGAGAGACAGGAACAGCCUCUCUCAGAAAAGGCCGCUUACACUGAAACUCAAAAGGCGAGUCCAGCUUCUCUAGGCAAAGAGAAGUGAGCAGAACAGCCCACAUGAAUAAUACCCAAUGGCGAAACAAACACAGCACAAAUGGAACCUCCCCAAGAAUCAACCCGGAGCCAGAGACAACCCAGAGCGUGGUGUCAUUGAGGGGCCCACAAAGGUCUACAUGGCCAGAACUGGCCAGAAAAUGGGGUAAGCCCUUGUUAAAAAUGUCGGGUUUUAUCCUAAGUGCAAUGGGGGUCUUGCAGAGUUUUAAUGAGAAUGUACUUUUCUGAUUGUGUCUUUUAGACUGGGGUCCACAUCUCCCAGGCCUCGGACUGGUACAGGUCCGUGGCUUGUUAGGAACCAGGCCGCACAGCAGAAGGGCUGCCGGCUGCUCAGAUACUGGUCAGAUGUUAUUCUGAAUGUGUCCAUGAGGGUGUUCUGGGACAGGACAGACGUCUAAGUAGGCGAAUGGAGUCAAGCAGAUGCCAUCUCCAGUGUGGGUGGGCCUCACCCAAUCAGUCAAAGGCCGGAACAGAACAGAAAAGCCGAGAAGGACCCCUUCCUGCCGGGCUGCCUUGAGCUCAGUCAGCAGUCUUUUUCUGCCUUUGGACUCAACCGGAAACACCAGAUCUUCCUGGGUUUUGAGCCUUCCAGCUUUCAAACUAUACCAGAGCUCUCCUGGUUUUCAGGCUUUUGGACUCAGACUAGAACUUCCACUGUGGGCCCUCCUGGGACUUCAGCCUGCCAACCGCACAGAUCUUUGGACAUGUCUGCCUCCAGAGUUGUACGAACCAAUUCCUUAUAGAAUCUCUGUGUGUUUGUGUGAUGUGUGUGUGCAUAAUUGUAUAUGUGUAUGCAUAUGUGUGUGUAUGGAUACAUAUAUAGAGAUGCACAUCCUAUUGAUUUUGUUUCUCUGGCAAACCCUGACUAAUACACCAGCUAAAGAGGAAAUAAUAUUGUCUAGGGAGAAGGUAGAGUUAAUAAAAAAGACUCAUAUAAGCUAUAGGGUAUCUCCACAUUGGAAAUAAACCAUAGUGCAACCCAAGAAAUAGAAAUGAGAGCAGAAAUUGACCACAGAUCAAGUAGGCUAGAACUAUGGCAGAACUCCCCCUGGGCACACAGCCACCUGGCUGGGGAUGGAGACCACAUUUCCCAGCUCCCAUGCUGCCAAGAGCAGCCACGGGCUAAGUUCAGAUCAAUGGCGUAUGAAGGAAUUGACGAAAUCCCAGGGAAUCUCCAUAAAGAUGAAGCCAUCAUCCUAGACUUCUUCCUUUUCUGUUUUCUGAAGGCCGAAAACCCAAUUUGAAAAUGACCCAGUUUUAACUCUGCAAACAAGAACCACACCUUAAAAGACAGUGGAGGAAGAAGAUGAGGGAACCCCAGUCGCUGGAUGACCUGGUGGAGCAGAGCCUCCAUGCCAGCCUGGACUGUCAGCUCUGGGCCAGAUUCUGGGAGGGAGGCUAGUAUCUCUCCUGUUUAAGUCCCAAUAUUUUGAAGUCUCUUUUCUCCAGCGUUUGGCUUGUACUGAACUGAAACAGACAUGGAAACACACACAAACAGCAACAUAGGCAGACGGCCGUUCGCUCAACUAGAACAGAAGUCUGCCUGCUGUGCUCUCUCCUGUAGCCCCAUAGAACGGGCCAGGAGCUGGCAUGAGGAGGACUCAGAACUAUGUGUGGAAUGAAUGGAUAGUGGAAGAAAUGCAGACUGGCACUAGAAGGGCAGUGAGGACAUGGGAAAAGAGUCUAUAGUUACAUCUCUUUACAAGAACUUGCUGUACAGAGAAGGGAGUAACUAAGGAACUAGGGUCUGGGUGCCGUGUAAUGCACAUGUGUGUACGUGGGUGACACAGGAAAUGCUAGGGCAUAUUUCCACAAAAAUAAACAAUCCAACAAGAGAAAGGAGUGCCAUACAAAAUAGAGUGUUGUAAAUUUCCUGAGUUGUGUAGCAGGCGAGGUACUUUCUUCAUAUCACCAGAAGGGAAGAGGAGGAGGAUGGGUGGGUGUACAGGAAAACCUGUUGGGUCACAGGUAGGAAUUUUAGGAUGUAUCUAAGUGAUGACUCUUAAAAAAAAUUCUGUCUAGUGGGAAGCAAGGUCAACCCCUGGAGAGAAUGCUGGCCAGCAGAGGUCAGGCCAAGGUAAAUGGAGAAGGUUGAAAAUAGGCAUCGUGGAGAGAGAGAGCAAAGUGAGUACAGGGUUCUGGUCAGAAUAAAGAGAAGCUCUCAGAGGCUGAUGAGGUUGGGCAUCAUGCAUUUUUAUAGUAACAAUCUUCCCAGUGUGUGUCUUUCCCAGGAACUGUCAGGGUUUAGACAGACAUGAAGAACAGGAAAUGUUUGGCUUCUUCUGGGGCUGUGAUUUUUCCCCAAUGAUAAAAAUUAAAAGGCUGAAGGGCAACUUCUAUUGAAUGUUGCAAUAAAGUAGUUACUGACUCUGUUGGAGAGGGAAGAAACGGCUGACAGGAAGGCUGGUGGAUGUGGUGGUGAACUCAUCAGAGGGCCGGAGGUUCCGACAGGACAGGCACCUGCACUGUGGCUUCUUAACCAGCCCGGUGGGAGGACAAGAAAUGGAGGCAACAGAAUGUGCUCAACGACUUUGUCAAUUACAAGUGAUUAAGUUUCCAGGAUGUAGGAAGUAGAAAAGUUCCUCUUCAAAGUGUCCUUUCUUGUUAAAGAAUAAUCGUAAGUGUUAGAAAUAAUAGUUUGUUUUAAAUACUUUCUUCAAAGCCUUUUUGCUUUUUGCUAGUAGCUUUUUGUUAAGCCAUAUCCUAUGUAGCUGUUAGACACGCUUACAGGCACGUAACACAUUCUGUGUCCUUGUACUUUAACCAAGAUACUGGUGCUAGAUGUGCUCACAGCCUAUGCCCCUUCCUUAUUUAGACCUCCUUUUUGUUCUCUAUUGCUUUUACCUGUUUAGAAAAAUUUGAAGUUGUUAGACAAUCAAGUUUUAGUUUAGAUUGUUAAGUCUGGCUCCAACCAACAAAGAUCAGACACAGCAGUAAGGACAACCCCAAAUGCAUAAAGGAUAAAUAUGUCUGCUUUUCCUUUGCUCAUUGUACUGUCAUAGCAAGAUAGGUGAGGGUACUCUUUCGGCAAGAAGUAAAGAUUGCCUUGCUGAGAGAUGCUUUGUCCCAGUGCUGACUUUUCCUUGCAGCACUGAAAAUUUACAUGUAACACAGGAUGACAAAGUUUAGAAUAGAUGGCUAAUUUGGAGCUUUGUCCCAGUGCUGACUUUUCCUUGCAGCACUGAAAAUUUACAUGUAACACGGGAUGACAAAGUUUAGAAUAGAUGGCUAAUUUGGAGUAGGAAAAAAACAUCUCUAGAGAUGAGAAGGUAGCAGAAUGGAGAGGUCAGGUGGUCAGAUGUGAUUUUCAGAUGGAUGUGGAAGACACCAAGUGGAUAGCAGGCAUGGUAAUGGUGAGGAAGACUGGCGUGGAUUCCAACGACCCCUCUGAGUGCACCAUAGUAACAGAUGGAGUUGGUGACUCCUAAGAGUACAGGAGAGGUGGUAUUGUCAGAUUGCAUGAGAUUUAAAGAAGCAAAUUUUUGUCCAGCUAAUAGGCUGUGGUCAGAAAGCUCCCUGAAGAGCAAGGAUGACAUUGACCAAGCAUGUGGCACUCAGGUCUCAGGGGCAAAAAGAGAGCAAAUUGCCUCCAUUUGAGAGGAUCACAGAGGAAGUGGGUUCUCAGGAGCCAUCAGAUUCCACUUAAGGAAAGCGGGAGGAAUCUUGAGAGAAGACUUCAAGGGAAUGGCUGACCAAAGAGGUGGGAUGGCCAGCAGGCCAGUGCUUGGGAGUAGAGAGACAGGCCAUGAAUGUGUGGAAGGAAGUUGUCCCUUGAGCGGUGACCAGGACAAAAGGGGAGGCCAGCUUGGUGGACUUCACUCUGCUUGUCUUGCAGGAGACUGCCAGGCCAGGGACACUCUCCCUUGGGUUCAUAAAUGAGUCAGAUGGCUGGGACUCCAUCUUCUCUCCCUGAGGAACUAGUUGAUAAAGACACCCUAGUGCAUUUUCCUGAACAGACUGUUGAUGUUAACAAGGUCAGUCUGAUACGGCUGAUUCUUUAUCAGUCCAUCACUGUUUCUUUUGUAGACACACAUCAGCUGUCGGUUUAACCAAUUCUUGCUGAAAAUGGAUUAUUACCGAGAAUGACCAUCAAGUCCAUGGCUUUGGGAUGUGCAGAAGAUAUUGAAUGCUGGCUUUUCAAGCUGGUGCCUCAUUCAGCCAUCUAUAGUCUUCUGACAUUUUUACAGUUUGCAAAGUCAUAGAUUAAAAUACACAACUAAUCAAUAAGGAGACUUGCCUAAGGCCAGGGGACUGGAACCACAGGGAGAGCAAAGAGAUGUUUCACGUUUGUAGGUUCUACUUUGUCUUUAUGAUUGUGGCACUGUGUGUUCCCAAAACAGGAAUGCUGGGAGGCCUGGAAUAGGUUUUCUGAGUCCUGGCUCUGCCACGGGCUAGCUCUGUGACCCUGAGAAGCCCACGAGGAUCUGAGAGCUGUCAUUUCUUCAUCUUAUGAGUGGAAGUAAGUCCCGACGCUGCUUACCUUAUGGGUUGCUGUGGCUAUUCAGAUGUGUUGUACAUGAAACACUGCAUGAGUCCACGUUUACACUAGGCACUAAAUCAUUACUGGUAUUUUAUUGUUCAAGGUAUAAUGUAAGACAACAUCUAUACUAACCUUAACAUUUAAACAUUUAUUUUACCUAAAAGCUGAUGAUUUCUGAUGCUAUAGUUAGAUGCUCUUUCCUUUUAUCCUGGUGUGUUUGCUUUUCACCUUUUCAUGUGUCCUUUUCAAAACUAUCCCUAGGAAGCAGCUGGUGUGAUUAUAUUGGGUUUGUUAGAAAGUAAUGUCUUCAUCUUCCUUUCCAUUAGGACUGCGUAAAAUCGCAUCACUUGAAGUGUGUGCUAAGAAUGUCCCUAAUCCCUUGUGGGAUAUUUCUCCUUCUGAGUCUCAUGUUUGGUGAUUCCUGCUUUAUAAAACCCAUCUCCCUGAAAGCUUGGGACACAUUUAACUCCACGUCCCUCUCUUCCUUGAUGCGAUUCUGUUUCCUUCAGCUCUUCGUCUGCCUUCCUCCUGGCAAUACGCCUCUCUAAUUUCCUUUCUUAGAGGCUUCCACUCCAGGGUUCAAGGAUUUUCCUGCAACUGCAUGCCUUCUUUUAGAGAAGAGGGCAGGUGUGUGCACACAGCAUAAUUGGGUCUUUGGGUCUAAUUCUCCAAUAUAUCUGUCCCUUUUGAAUUGAGCUAACUUUUCAGUAAUUUUUUAGCCAUAAUGUUCAUCUACCAAGCAAUACAGGUGAAGUCAUGUUUAUCACCUAUAAUUUUAUUACCUGCAGAAUGCUUAUUCAUAUAUGGAUGUCAAUGGCUACAUGUAUUGAUUAAAACUCCCUUCCCAAUUACGUUACUAAGGAAACAGCUAGACACAUUUCAAAUGUUAAUCACCUUUUGUUACACCUGAGUCACAUUAGCAAUAACUUUCUGCACGAGAGAAGUACUCGCUUUGUUUGGAUUGGAAUUCUGUCUCGUACACAGGGUUCAAUUAACAUUAGCUGAGACUAUUUCUUAAGUCAAAGAAGAUGCAUAUCCUCUUCAUUAUUAAGCCUAGAAUGUGAUUUUCUCAGGUUGCCACAUUAAUCAGAGAGAGACACUGUGUAGUUUAUGAUCAAAACUAAGGCAGCUCAACAGCGUUACAUCUUAAGAGGCUGACAUAGGAGAAAUGUCAUUUCCUUUUUAGUCUGCGUCAUUAAAAAGAUCUUUUUUUCUUUUGAAGUCUUUCUCUUGGUUGCUCGACAUUUCUUCACAGAAAGAAUAUGAAGGAAAUCAGUGAUACAUAGCAUGUGAAAUCAAAGCAGCAGCAGGAUUUUGUUUAGAGGAAUGCACAGCUGCAUUGACUGUGAUUACAAUUCAGAAAAGCUGCAGCUGCCAAUUUCCUUUCUGCAAUUCAAUUAACCUUAUAUGUACCUUUCAACUUUAAGGGAUGUUUUUUCCACUCAAGGAAAAAACAAAAGGAGAAUGGGAGAAAUUAUAGAACUAUGAAAUGGGACUUACAAAGAAGUAGAAUAGUUUGCCUAUUCUUCUCAGGUAACAUAUUUUAUGGACAAUUUCAAUUCUUCCUGCUGCUGUCUUCAGAAGAGCUUAAAUAUAAUUCUGGAUAUUAUUUUCAUUUUACAAGAAGAUAUUGGCUCACACUUCUCAGAGAGCUGAGGAGCUGGAAUUUGACUUAGUAUAACCGAGGUAAGAGUUACAUCUGGAAAAGAACAAUUCUUCCCGUGAAUUAGGACAAGUUCAACUACAUCCUAAAUCACAGUGAUCUUAAGUACUACUCCUCAUGCUUGUAAGAGAUUUUAAAAUAAAACAGCAAUCUGUGUACAGUACGUAGCCAAGGUGAUCCAAGGUCAGUGUCUCCUCCUAGGUGCACCUGCAGGGAGUUAGCAUUCACCGCCCACACGCCUGGCCCAACAAGAGCUGACCAGGCAUGCACACGCUACUGACGAAAUGCAGCCUGGUUUGCUGCAGGGCAUCUGUUUUCUAAAACACAUUUGUCACUGAUAGACCUAGUGACCGACUAGGUGUGAAUACGAUGUAAAAGUUGCAUUGGUCAUAAGCCAAUUUAUCUGAUGCACUAACAUUUUAAGUCACCAUGUAAUAGCAGGUCUGUGCUGUAACACAAAGAACUGUGGCACAGGUGAGCACAGCAAGACACCGAGAACACGCUUGCCUGUCCACUGGCCCCAUGUUUCUUCUGCUGGUCCUGUCUGGCCGUGUGUUUGGCUUUGAAAGUGUCCAGGAUCUGGAUCUUCAUGCAAAAGAAACAAGCAUGGGAUGGUGACCUGGAACACUUCUCGCCGGCAUCACUGCGUUUUCGCAAAGCCUGCAACUGAUCCAUCUCCGAUCUGCGCUCCGAGGCUCAGCCCUCUGAUCUUUCCUUACCUCUCCUUUCCCUAGGCUGCCUUCCUCUUUUUCCUUAUUAAAGUUCUGUACGUACUGCAGCAUAUUCCAUUUAUUGGGAAUGGAAUAUAUUUCUUCUAUGCCAGGAUUCAAAAUUGGGAUUGUUAUUGUAGUUUGUGCUCCGGUUACAGAAUUUCUAAGGUUUGAGUGUUCUAUCCCAGCACCAUAUUUUCUCAAAGCCUUGCUCUCUGCAGUGGGCAAUUUUGCACAAAGCAAUUUUCUCAGGCAUAUUCUUCUGAGCUCCAGGUCUCCACAUCCAACAUCUACUCAACAAUUUAUUCUGAGAUGUUCACCUCAAACAUGUCAGAAUCAACAUGUCAACAUGCCAAUACCUCCUGCAGGAUUUCCUAACUCCACAGAUGGUAUCUGUCUAAUUGUGCAAGCCAAGAACAAGGCACCAGCUGGGACAUUUCCUGUAUCCAGUCUAUCAUCACGUCCAGUUAAUUUUACAAGUAGUGUUUCUCCAAUGUGUCCGUUUCUCUUUGUCUCUGCUGCCACCUUCAUCUCAUACCAGGAUCACUGCGGCAGCCUCACCAGGAUCACUGCAGCAGCCUCCCCCCAGGCCACAGUAGUCUAUGAAACACUAAUCUGAGCAGAUCACCACCUUCUGCACAAACCCUUAGGAAACUAGAAGAAAACUCCCUCGACCUCGUAAAGGCUAUAUUAACAAAACAUCCAGUAAACAUCACACUCAAUGGAGAAACUUUAACACCAGGAGCAAAGAUGCCCAUUAAUAUCACAACUGCUUAGCAUGGUACUAAAUAUUCUUACAGACAAAAAAGAAUCAAGAAGGAAGGAGUCAGAAAACAAAAGAAAUUCGUGGUGUAAGAUUUGGAAGGAAGAUAAAAAAAUCCUUAUUGGCAGAUGGGCAGAUGACACAGUCCUAUACAUAGGCACUCCAACAGAAGAGAGACUAUUCAAACUAAUGAGAGUUCAGUGAUGUUGAUGGAUUUAAAGUGAGCUUAAAAUUAAUAGUAAUUCUCUUUACCUACUGAUGCAGACUGAAUGUUGUGUCCCCCCAGUUCUUACGUUGAAAUAUAAUCCCAAGUGUGAUGGUAUUUGGAGGGAGUUCUGGGAGGAGAUUAGGUCGUGAGAGCAAAGCCCUCAUGAAUGGGAUUAUGAAAGAGACCUUAUAAAAGAGACCCCAGAAAGACCCCUCACCCCUUCUACCAUGUGAGGACUUGGCGAGAAGGCACCAUCAAUGAACCAGAGAGCAAGUGUUCACCAAACAUUAGAUCUGAAAGUCCUUCGCUCUUGGACUUCCAGCCUCCUGAACUGUGAAAAACAAAUUUUUGUUGUUUAUAAGCCACUCUGCUUAUAGUUUUUCAUUACAGCAUCCCAAAUGGACUAACACACCUGCAAUAACCAAUUCCAAUUUUUAUUAAACUUAUGUGGUGAAAUUUUAUCAAAUACCUCUCUGUACCAAUUGGGGGACCACAUGGUUCACAUUAUCAACAAGAGAAAAUAGGCAACCCAAACCCAAAAAACAGGCAAGUAAUAAAAACAGUUCACAGCAAGAGAAAUUUAAAUGACUGGCAAGUGUGUGAGGAUUUCCUCAACUCAGUAAAUGUAACCAGAAGAAAUAAAGUGAGGAGAUGCCGCUUCCAACCAUCAUAUUUAUAAAAUGUAAAAGGCACCACAGAACCAAGAGUUGAUGGGUGUGGGAAGAUACAGGGCCUCCUGCAGUUCUUCUGGGAGCACCCCCUGCUGUGACUGCAUGGAGAACACUCGUCAUGAAGAUGAAGGAUGAGUAUCAUCAGUGGUCUUUCCAUCCCAUGCUGCACAGACUAGAGACCCCAGACCCCCACCCCCGACGACUGGAUGAGUACCCAGGCACGGGGACAACUACUUAGGCCGGCUUUAUGCACAGUACCCAGGGAGAAGUAAAGCCCUGUGCCUACUGCUUGUGCAACUGAAAUAUCACCCCGUUACUGUGUAUCUUAAAGGAUACAUUCAUAUCCAAGAAUAGAGAGAGAGUGCGAUCAGGAGCAAAAGUAAAAUAGUAUUAAACAAGAAGAGUCUUGUUUUGAACAGUUGCACUGGAGUUCCUUGAAUAGUAGUAACAAAACUCUGCAUAGGAAGUUUUUGAAAAACAUUAAAAGAGUAAAGUGUGGUCUUCAGAUUAAUUGGUGGGAGGGUGACAGCCAUUGAAAUGGAUAAGUUCAAUUUGGGAGUGAAUAUCACUCAAAAUAGACCAAAGUCCAACAUACCUAUAAUUGGUGUUCAGGAAGAAGAAAAGUACCCAGAAAGCUUGAGAGUAAGGGUUGAUCAGGAAAGAGAGUUAACUUCGAUUUGACACAGAAAAAUCCCAACUCUCAAAAAGCUAAGCCACACCAAAGAAACUGCUUUAUCUGGAUGUUGGGAAGAUUUAGGAUGUUAAAAAUAAGUUCAGUAUAAACAGAAACUCUUUCUCCCUUGCAACUUCCAUUCCUCCUGCCUUGGGUGGCUGGCAAAAGCUAAGAAUGUAGAAGACAUUCUGAGACGUUUCUGAGACCCUGAGAAGGGGCUUACGUGCCCACUAAGCGUUCCCGUCACCAGGCAGUGCACUCUGCUAAACAAGCCUUCACCAGCAGGCCUUUACUAGGACCAUUUACGGUGACAAUAAGUUACUUCCUCUGAAGUUUUAUCACAAUGGCUUCCUUCUCAUACAGUUGAACUUGCUCACUUUCAAAUGUAAUUAUGUUUUGAAAUACAUACUUCUGAAGUGAAGCCAUCAAUUUUCAUAGGCAAUGCAUGAUAAAAUAAAUGCAUGGUACCGCAAACUGCAAUUUAUUAAGUUUGGUGGAGUCAGUGGAGCCAGUCAUGUAGACAGCUGGGAGAAAUCAGAAACAGAGGUGACAUGGAGUGAUAUUCAAAGUAGAGAAACAAGGAAGAGGCAUGAGCCAGAAGCUGUGAGCCUGCAGUGGGGUUCCGUACACAUUGCCCUCAGCCAGGUACCAUCGGCUUGUUUUAGCAUGCCCCUUGUCUGGGCUGUGCCCCAGUUUCCUCCUCCUUAAAGCAGCACUGAAGUUCAUCUCACCCCUGCUUCCCUCACUGCUUGUCAUAAAGAUAUAACGAGAUUAUGAUUGUGGGUGCUCAUUAAGCUGGGCACAUAUGUGGCAAAUCAUUACUUUUAUUAAUGGAGGAAUAAGAACAGUCCCAUAAGUCAGAAAUAAAGACACAAUAUAUCCUUAAAAAUAAACAUAUGGGCUGGGUGAGGUGGCCCACACCUGUCAUCCCCACAAUUUGGGCAGCCGGGGCAGGAGGACUGCUGAUGCCCAGACACUGGAGGCCAGCCUGUGCCACAUAGUGAGACCACAUAAAAAAAAAUAAACACACGACCAAAAAGAAAAAACUAUCUGAUGGCUUCGCUUUAUCCUAAUGUCAAAUCACAAUUAUUCUUUACAUCAUCUUUUUUCUUCACGAAAGUCAGAAUCUCAUAGGAAAUUGGUCAAGAUCCUGACGUACAGGUGGGUUAACAGGAUCAGUAAAUGUCAAAUAACAAAUUACAAAGAAGGAAGGGAUGAAAUGAAGUCCUGGCACAUUUCUCCUGGUUGUAUUUCUUCUUUCUGGCCCAGACAUCUCCUAGAUUUACAGGUGCGUAAAUGUCCCUUCUCGUCACCAGGACAGCUUUAACUACCGUCAAGAAGUAUUUUUCAAAUAAACACUUCAGUUUCUGUGUCUGAAGUGUUUAUUUGACUCAUCGGAACUGAGAACAAAUUAGGGGUUGACAAGGUCCUAUUGCGUGCAGAACAACUGUGACUUUCUAAAUGGAAGAACAUCUUUAAAACUUUAAAGAGGGUUUCAGUUUUCAUGUAUGCCAUAUUCUAUUAUCGAACCAGAAACUUCACUCCAAAGUACUAUUCAAAAUCCUGAUGGAGUAAGAAUUAAAUUGCUGCAACUUAACUUUAAUCCUGUGUACUUCUUCAGUUAUCACACAAUGUCUUUUUUCCCUGUCCUUACCAAUCUCAAGGUUCACCAUUGUAAAUAUAAGUGUAUGUCAAUUAGGAAAAACACAGGAAAUCCCUUAACAUCUGGAAGGUUCCAUUCAAUUUUGCUAUUCUUAUGAAAACUGAUUUCAAAUCUGGAAUAUUCAAAGUAACACUUGAGUCAUGACCUCUACAGCAUGCUUUAGCAUGUGGUCCGUUAUAUCUGGCAGAUCACCCUCACACACUGCUCUCGGCACCCUGAUGUCCUCCCAGCACAGUGUACUUUGUUCUGAACUCUUCAGUAUACUUUUUGUAGAAUAAUAUGUACAUAUGCAUGCAUGAGAGUGUGUGUGUAUGGGGGGGGUGUGGGGUGUGUGUG